GAUGAACGCUGGCGGCGUGCCUAAUACAUGCAAGUCGAGCGAACGGACGAGAAGCUUGCUUCUCUGAUGUUAGCGGCGGACGGGUGAGUAACACGUGGAUAACCUACCUAUAAGACUGGGAUAACUUCGGGAAACCGGGGCUAAUACCGGAUAAUAUUUUGAACCGCAUGGUUCAAAAGUGAAAGACGGUCUUGCUGUCACUUAUAGAUGGAUCCGCGCUGCAUUAGCUAGUUGGUAAGGUAACGGCUUACCAAGGCAACGAUGCAUAGCCGACCUGAGGGGGUGAUCGGCCACACUGGAACUGAGACACGGUCCAGACUCCUACGGGAGGCAGCAGUAGGGAAUCUUCCGCAAUGGGCGAAAGCCUGACGGAGCAACGCCGCGUGAGUGAUGAAGGUCUUCGGAUCGUAAAACUCUGUUAUUAGGGAAGAACAUAUGUGUAAGUAACUGUGCACAUCUUGACGGUACCUAAUCAGAAAGCCACGGCUAACUACGUGCCAGCAGCCGCGGUAAUACGUAGGUGGCAAGCGUUAUCCGGAAUUAUUGGGCGUAAAGCGCGCGUAGGCGGUUUUUUAAGUCUGAUGUGAAAGCCCACGGCUCAACCGUGGAGGGUCAUUGGAAACUGGAAAACUUGAGUGCAGAAGAGGAAAGUGGAAUUCCAUGUGUAGCGGUGAAAUGCGCAGAGAUAUGGAGGAACACCAGUGGCGAAGGCGACUUUCUGGUCUGUAACUGACGCUGAUGUGCGAAAGCGUGGGGAUCAAACAGGAUUAGAUACCCUGGUAGUCCACGCCGUAAACGAUGAGUGCUAAGUGUUAGGGGGUUUCCGCCCCUUAGUGCUGCAGCUAACGCAUUAAGCACUCCGCCUGGGGAGUACGACCGCAAGGUUGAAACUCAAAGGAAUUGACGGGGACCCGCACAAGCGGUGGAGCAUGUGGUUUAAUUCGAAGCAACGCGAAGAACCUUACCAAAUCUUGACAUCCUUUGACAACUCUAGAGAUAGAGCCUUCCCCUUCGGGGGACAGAGUGACAGGUGGUGCAUGGUUGUCGUCAGCUCGUGUCGUGAGAUGUUGGGUUAAGUCCCGCAACGAGCGCAACCCUUAAGCUUAGUUGCCAUCAUUAAGUUGGGCACUCUAAGUUGACUGCCGGUGACAAACCGGAGGACGGUGGGGAUGACGUCAAAUCAUCAUGCCCCUUAUGAUUUGGGCUACACACGUGCUACAAUGGACAAUACAAAGGGCAGCGAAACCGCGAGGUCAAGCAAAUCCCAUAAAGUUGUUCUCAGUUCGGAUUGUAGUCUGCAACUCGACUACAUGAAGCUGGAAUCGCUAGUAAUCGUAGAUCAGCAUGCUACGGUGAAUACGUUCCCGGGUCU
This 1372-nucleotide ribosomal RNA is filed under the name uncultured bacterium. RNAcentral describes it as "bacterial SSU rRNA". It matches the Rfam family "Bacterial small subunit ribosomal RNA", at positions 28 to 1381 of the family's 1533-position model. The record is from RNAcentral.